AGCUAUGUACGGAUGAGAUAAACGCUGAAAGCAUCUAAGUGUGAAACUCGCCUCGAGAUGAGAUUUCCCAUUCAGAAAUGAAGUAAGACCCCUCAGAGAUGAUGAGGUAGAUAGGCUAGAAGUGGACGUGUGGUGACACAUGGAGCGGACUAGUACUAAUGGUUCGAGGACUUAACCAAG
Molecule: ribosomal RNA, 180 nt
Filed under: Weissella thailandensis
Lineage: Bacteria; Bacillati; Bacillota; Bacilli; Lactobacillales; Lactobacillaceae
Description: partial 23S ribosomal RNA
Rfam family: Bacterial large subunit ribosomal RNA
Source: RNAcentral